Corapipo altera (White-ruffed manakin) is the source of this 208-nucleotide long non-coding RNA. RefSeq lists it as uncharacterized. The record is from RefSeq and is a predicted model, not a curated record. The transcript has 3 exons. Lineage: Eukaryota; Metazoa; Chordata; Aves; Passeriformes; Pipridae.
GUUCUACUUCAAUACCAAGCCUCCCUCUGCCAACACAUAGGAAUCAAUAACACUUGCCUCACAAAGUAAACUUUCAGAGGAAAGGAAACGCGGGUAGCACACUGAGAGAUUAGAAAACAACCAGGAGUAACCUUGAGAGAUGUCCCUACUCAAGGGGAGAUCCUGGUGUGCAGUCGUUGCUGUGCAAGAUAGCUUAGCAGGUGCUGGA